RNAcentral lists this long non-coding RNA (204 nucleotides) under Cavia porcellus (domestic guinea pig). RNAcentral's name for it is "lncRNA (ENSCPOG00000031374.1)". The record is from RNAcentral. Lineage: Eukaryota; Metazoa; Chordata; Mammalia; Rodentia; Caviidae.
GCCGUUUGCGCGUGCGCAUUACAUCUCCGGGCGUGAGGGCGGGGAGGCCUGGAUGAUUUAACCCGCGACAACCGCUGGUGGGAAGCACUUGCGGUCGCCGAUGAGCACAUAGGCCCCUUCUCAUCCAGCAGCCACCACUUUCCCAGUGACCAUGAUAGGGUGAUUUGAAUAAGUAAGAAUUUCAUCCUGCUAGUCAAGAUUGCU